RNAcentral lists this ribosomal RNA (557 nucleotides) under uncultured freshwater bacterium. RNAcentral describes it as "bacterial SSU rRNA". It matches the Rfam family "Bacterial small subunit ribosomal RNA", at positions 8 to 607 of the family's 1533-position model. The record is from RNAcentral.
AGAGUUUGAUCCUGGCUCAGAAUGAACGUUGGCGGCCUGGAUUAGGCAUGCAAGUUGAGCGAACCCGCAAGGGGAGCAGCGUAAGGGGCAGUAAGGCAUAGGUACCUACCCCGGGGUCGGGCAUAGCCUGUAGAGAUACAGGGUAAUUCCCGAUGACCUCGAGAGAGCAAAGAUUUAUCGCCCUGGGAGGGGCCUAUGUGAUAUUAGCUAGAUGGUGGGGUAACGGCCCACCAUGGCGAAGAUGUCUAGCGGGUGUGAGAGCACGACCCGCGCCACUGGCACUGAGACACUGGCCAGACACCUACGGGUGGCUGCAGUCGAGGAUCUUCGGCAAUGGGCGCAAGCCUGACCGAGCGAGGCCGCGUGGGCGAUGAAGGCCUUCGGGUUGUAAAGCCCUGUCGAGGGGGAGAAAAGGCAACUUGAUCUAUCCCUGGAGGAAGCACGGGCUAAGUUCGUGCCAGCAGCCGCGGUAAGACGAACCGUGCGAACGUUAUUCGGAAUCACUGGGCUUAAAGGGCGCGUAGGCGGGCUGCCAAGUCCGGGGUGAAAUCCUCCAG